This 4041-nucleotide long non-coding RNA is filed under the name Marmota monax (woodchuck). The stretch from base 865 to 939 matches the Rfam family "mir-101 microRNA precursor family". The record is from RNAcentral. Lineage: Eukaryota; Metazoa; Chordata; Mammalia; Rodentia; Sciuridae.
AAAAUAAAUAAAUAAAUAUUUUAAAAAUUCUCUCUUUUAAAAAAUAAAAAUAAAACUGCACUAGUUCCUGCUUCAUGACUUGAGUUAAUGAGAACUAAUACUCAUCAGCAGAAAGUAGACAUUUUCAGAAAUCCUUAUGUUUGGAUAAAUGGUAUAAACUGAACAUCCUGUUGGUUGAGUAGGAGAGCUAGGGUGGAUGAGAGACAAAAGCAAAGAGUUCCAUCUUUGACCAUGGAUUUGGGCCUACUAUGGUUUGCCAUAAUUUUAGUCAUUUUUGUAUCUGUGAAAAGGGCGGUAAUGAUAUCUUAGCUAUUUCCAUAAUCCUUUUUGGAUGAGUUAAUGAAUAAUUCAUUGUUAACCCUGUAGGGUUCUUGUGGAAGUCAAAUGAGAAAACAGAAGUUUUAUUGAGUGUUAGGAAGAUAUAAAGCAUUAUUGCCAUGUUUAGGAGCAAGAACCAUGUUUCAUUUAUCUACCUAAACAUCCUGAAGAGGUCUUGGAAAAUAAUAGUGCAUCAGUAAAUAUUUAUGGCAUGACUGAAGUCAGGGAGCUGGAGUCUUGAGUACAUGCAUGGAGGAGACGUCACUGGGAAGCUUACUGCUUACUUGAUGUGUUAUCAUUGUGAAAGCCUAAUCACAUGGUUGUUCAUCCUCAUUAAUAUGUAUAAAUCACAUGUUCACCUCUCAUUCUAAUGUAAUUCAACUGGGCCUUUUAAUAUUUCAGCCUCACCACUGUUGGACUCCAACCCCCACCUCACGUCUUCAACCAGAAGGGGAUCUUUUAAUCCUUCACUUCGUGGGGAGUCUUUGAGGGAGUAAUGCAGCUGCCCAGCAAGAACACUGCUGACCAGUACAGUGACUGACAGGCUGCCCUGGCUCAGUUAUCACAGUGCUGAUGCUGUCCAUUCUAAAGGUACAGUACUGUGAUAACUGAAGGAUGGCAGCCAUCUUGCCUUCCACCCGAGGAGCCUCCUCGUGCUCAGGAAGAAAGACAGAUGGUGAAAGAAGAGUGGGAUGCACCAUUCCUUCAUUUGUUUCUCCUGAGCUAUAGAGAAGGUUACCCCAUCUCUCUGCUUUGUUUCAUAAUACGAAAGGAAAACCACGAUGUGGUAGUUUGCAUGGCAGCACAGAUAUUGUGGUGCUGAGCAAAACGUGUAUAAGAUUUUUGGAACCUUUGAAUCUUCAGGAGAUUUUGAUAUUAGGAAAUACUAAAUAUGAAUUAUAUUUUCUCGAGUGGUAUUCAGAGAAAUUUGUGCCAUUUUAUAAUUGUGAAGGGUAACCUGAUUAGGAUAGGCUGACACUUGGCACUACACUAUUAAAUGUUCAAAAUGAAAUUUGUCCUAGGCAGAAGGAAAGCUCUACAUGUCGAACCGUAUUGAUAAUUACUGCAUGAGUAAAAUUCAUCGUUGUGUUUAAGGAAUGGAUGGCAGGCUGUCAUGUUCCUUUCAAGAUGUUUAGAAUCUCCUCUGAGAAAACAUUCAUUGAAUGACAAUAUUGCAAUAUUUUAUCAAAAAAUAUUGCAAUAUUUUUAGAUAAAAAUAAAAUAUAAAUUAUUUUAUUUCCAUCAGGUGAACAAGGACUACUCUACUGCAAUACCUGACACACAUUGAUUUCAGGGAUAUGAAACUAUACAUACCAAGUCAGUAUAUUUGUAGGAAGGCCUAGGAAAUUUAGCAAACCAGGCAUCUUUAACCUGCAUCCUAGUCUAGAGAAUACUUCUGGGGGUAGAGGGUGGGGUUGUUAGAAAAUCUCCAUUCUCACAUUCCUUCUGCCAGUGAUCCCUCUUUCUACAGACUCCUAAAAGCACUCUACAUAUGAAAUACCAAUGAAUGCAUAUCAAAGUACAUGACUUUAUGUUGGAUCACAGUCCACUGCAUGUAAUUUCAUGUAACAUAUUUUAGGCUCAAGCCUGAGCAGGAACCUAUUGCCUCUUCUAGGCUGGUGUCUAUCUAGUAGGAGUCUUAGCACCCUGUAGAUGGCUGGCUGAUCUGUGAAAGAACCUAGAGCACUGAGCUUGAGUACUGAGGCAGGGCCUGCUGAGGACAGGCCCUAUUUGAAACUACCUAUACCUGGGACGCAAGAGCAUACAUGUGACUGUAAUAUACAGUGGACCUUUACCCACUAGUUGAGACCACCUCUUCAGUGUCUCAGAUACUGGCAGUUUUAUUAUCAAGUCCUUCACUGGAAUGGUCUGAGGACGAAAGGGGAUCUGUAGGGAGCAAUCCCUGUUGUCCAUUGUUCUAGUCUUCACCAUCCUGGUCACUGUUCCUCUUUAGGUUCACAGUUCUCUAACCUCUCUCCUUUCUACUCAAAUAGCAGCCUUUCCUGGUGGUGACCCCUUGAGCCAUAACUGCUUGGCUCUGAACUGUUGUACAAACACUCUGAGCACAUUGGAGCAUCCAGUACCUUCACAUAACCUCUCAAAACUUUUUUUUUUUUGGUAGCAGGGCUUUAACCAAGGGGUUCCUAACCACUGAGCCCAUCUCCAGCCCUUUAUAUUUCAAGUUGGGGCCUUGCUAAGUUGCUGAAGCUGGACUUGAACUUGUGAUCCUCAUGCUUCUGCUUCUGAGUCACUAGGAUUAUAGGCAUGCAUCACCAUGCCCACUUCAAAACUUCUUUAAGCCAUAAACUCAGCUAUGUUUUUAUUAAUAGAGGGGUGUAGCACCCACCUGUAAUCCCAAGUACUUGGGAGGCUGAGACAAGAGAGGAUCACAAGUUCUAGGCCAGCCUGGGUGACUUAGGGAAACCCUAUCUUUAAUUAAAAAAAAAAAAGUGGGGGAUGUAGCUUGCCUAGUGUGCACAAGGCCUGGGUAUUCAAUUCCCAUUACCCCCCUCAACACACACACACACACACACGGUUCUGCCCAGUUGUGUAUUACACUGCUGCUCCUAAAAUUCCUUAAGAGUUUUCUCUCUCAAACAGAGAAGGAAUUUAUGACAGAAGGUCUGGAAGAACUCCUAGGAAGAGAAUUCGGGGACUGGUGAAUUCUCAAGUAAUUUAAAACUCUCCUGAUUUUUAGUGUUUUAGCAGGUGGAAAAAGUGCUUCAGGGACUAAUGUGUUGUGCAGUUGUUGGCCUUAGUGGGAAUUUCACCACCUUCCCUGGUCUUCCUGUUUUCUCUGUGACUAGUUUUAUAAAAAUUCGUCUGAUUUUAUACUUGCUUAACCUUGACCUCAGCAUCCACACCCACAUCUUUUGGAAGUUGCAGAGCUGAGUGUGGAUGUAGUUUGGAAUUGCUGCUAUACUUCUACAAACGGAGCUGUGCCGGCUUCCAUUUCUGGUCCACAAGCUUGCCUAGGCCUAGAGGUCUUCCACAUCUCUAAGGCAGUUGGUAGGUGUUAAGAUGUCAGGUUUUUAUCAUGCUGAGUGAGAAGUGCUGCAAGAGAAAGCAGAUAGGGUUAUUUCACUGCCUUUUUGGUUUCGUGUUUGAUUGAUGUAUUGUGUUCUAGUCUAGGCACAUUGAGAUUGGGAAGAGUGGAUGUUAACACCAUGAUACCCCCAAAAAGGGAAGAGGUACUAUAUAAUGGGUAUGUUUACACACACAUUCAUAGCAGCAUUAUUCACAGUAGUCAAAAAAUAGCAAUCCAGGUGUCCCUUGAUUGAAUGGAUAAAUAAAAUGGGUGCACACAUACAUUGGAAUAUCAUCCAGCCUUAAAAAGGAAGAAAGUUCUGAUACACACAACAACAUAGAUGAACCACGAAGAUAUUAAGUAAAAUGAGCCAGACAAAAGGACAAAUACCAUAUGACUCUACUCAGAAGAGGUUCCUAGGAUAUUCAUAUUCAUAGGGCCAGAAAAUAGAAUGACUGUUGCCAGGGACAGGAGGGAGAAGAGGACUGAGAGUUAGUGCUUAAUGAAUACAGAGAUUUAUUUGGGAUGAAUGUUGAAAAAUUUCUGGAGAUGGAUGUUGAUGGUUAUAUAACAAUAUGAAUGUGCUUAAUGCCUCAGAAUCGUUCACGUAAAAAACAGAUUUAAUGUUAUAUAUAUUAUUUAAUAUUAUGUAUUUUUACAAUAAAAAUUUAAUAACACUUUUGGGUCCAACAAAA